Acomys russatus (golden spiny mouse) is the source of this 127-nucleotide small nucleolar RNA. RefSeq annotates it as small nucleolar RNA SNORA17. The record is from RefSeq and is a predicted model, not a curated record. Lineage: Eukaryota; Metazoa; Chordata; Mammalia; Rodentia; Muridae. The transcript has a single exon.
CUUGCCCUUAGAGGCACUGCAAAUGUGGCUGCAAUGUCAUAUGUCAGUAGGCGGAAGAGAGGUGAGAGGCUAUUUCUACACUCAUUUUCUGAUCUAUGAACAUCUGAAUGAUUAGUAGGCUAACAUU